GGCCCCUCCCUUUCUUUUGGUUUCGUUUUCAGAGCAAGCAGGAAUAUUCUGCAGGAACAAGAGCCAGAAACUCAGCUCAGUUCUUGCCCAGUGUGGAACAAGCAGGAGAGUGGCUUGAAAUCUGAAGAUUUCCCCCCAAAACAAUAGACUGUUUUCAGGACCCGCAGCUCUGAGAAGUAAUGGGAUGAAAACCUUAUAUAGGAAAUAUUCCCAGCACAUGUUAAUUUGUUGCUUCUUGAUAUUGCUCGGAUUCGGCACCUAUACUGGAUGGGCAGAUAUGGAAUUCACAGUGUUUUCUGGUACCUGAAAUUUUCUGGUCCUUGGAAUUCAAGGCAACUGGGAAAAUGUGCUGUACAACCUUUCACCUAUCUCCGAACAUAGUUUCAGAUGAACUUCUACUAAUUAAUUAAACACUUCCUCUUAAAAAUAA
This is a long non-coding RNA of Heteronotia binoei (common prickly gecko), 430 nucleotides long. RefSeq lists it as uncharacterized. The record is from RefSeq and is a predicted model, not a curated record. NCBI's taxonomy places the organism in Eukaryota, Metazoa, Chordata, Lepidosauria, Squamata, Gekkonidae. The transcript has 2 exons.